This 57-nucleotide transfer RNA is filed under the name Ovis aries (sheep). It matches the Rfam family "tRNA", at positions 8 to 63 of the family's 71-position model. From Rfam's summary of the family: Transfer RNA (tRNA) molecules are approximately 80 nucleotides in length. Their secondary structure includes four short double-helical elements and three loops (D, anti-codon, and T loops). The record is from Rfam by way of RNAcentral. Lineage: Eukaryota; Metazoa; Chordata; Mammalia; Artiodactyla; Bovidae.
UGGCUCAGACGGUAAAGCAUCUGCCUGCAGUGCAGGAGACCCGGGUUCGAGCCCUGG